CACCGUCAUCCCGAUCUCCAUCGGCAUGGUGAACUUCCCAGAAGCACUCUGCGACUUUGGCUCCAGCGUCAACAUUAUGCCCAGGGUACUCUAUGAAAAAUUCUUUACACAUCCUUUAUUAGAAACAGCCAUGUGUUUGCAGCUUGCAGAUCGUACGCUAAGUUUCCCAAAGGGAAUAUUGAAGAACCUCUGCGUCCAAGGAGGCCAUUCCUGAACACCUCGGGAGCUGUCAUCUACGCUAGUGCUGCCAAGAUCAGUUUCUACAUCAACGGGAGGAAGGAGACGUUUUCCUUCAAGAACAAGACUACACAAAUCUCAAAGCAAUCCUAACAUGAACCAAGGAAGAGGAUCAACAGGGGGAAUAGGAACAAGCAAAUGUGGACUGAGUCAGCUAAGAUGGUCACUGCAGUUCAUGGAGCUCCAGAUGGCAGGUUAGACAUUCCGAAAGGUUGAAGGUUAUUGACAUGGGAGAAGACGAGUACGAUCCACCCAUCAUCCUUGGGAGACAGUUCCUUAGCACCGUUAAAAUAAUCAUCUACAUUGGAACCGGAGAAGUCCACAUGAAUUUCCCCUCUGAGAAGGUACGCCGCUAUUUUACUGACCCUAACUAUAUAGUUGAAGACUCUAAGCAGGUCACGACAAGAAGGAGACGACGCAACCGCAACCAGAGGAGGCAAAUCAUCAAGGACAGAUGGGCAGACUACUAAGGAGAAGUUGUAAGGUCUGAAGACAUACAACUUGAACAGAAUUGUCCUGAAGAGACCAUAGGACCGAGUUAGGUGUGUAGAGAGAAGAUAACUAUACACGAAGAGGAGGCGCCGCCGGAACCACCGACUACGCCAUCCAGCAAAUCCCAGGACGACUGAGAAAAUGGAGAGUCCCGUUUGGAGGACUUAAAAACACCAAACGCCUUACCAAGAGGUAAACUUGGUAGUUAUCCAUUUCUUUUCAAUUAUUUUAAAUAGUUUGCUUAGUUAAUCAGGUUCAUAUCAUCUUGAAAAGAAAAUAAAAAUGUUAAAAAUAGUAAGCCCCAUGUGAUUAUGCUCAUGGCAUAAAACCCAUAAGUACAUUCACUGUGGUGGCAUAAAAAUGAAAUAAAUAUAUUCCUGUCCUAUAAAAAUAAAAUUAUAAAAAUAAGAUUGUGAUCCUACUAAAGAGUAACAUUUAUUAAGGAGGCUCAACAUGAUAAAGGCUAGAUAUUUAUGCUAACACUUAACUAGUUCCACAAAGCUUUGUUGUCUAUUUGAGCUCCACAGAAUUCAAGGAUCAAAGAAGACUAGCAGACGGAGGACAUCCUAAUCGCUGUCAGGGUGCUGCCGACAUUCAAAUACUCCUCCACCACUUGCUAGCUACAUCAAAAGGAAUUAUGUCAAAAUCCAGCUUGGGGGAGAGCACCCCCAUUUAUCCAGCUAAGUGUUCUACUCACGUUUAUAUUUUACUCAAAUAAUAAAAAGAUGCAUAAUCAGAAAAACCAAAAUAAAGAUUUUGUGCUUAUAUAUAUAUCUUUGCUUAGCUUGCUAAAUAAAUAAAUAAAUAAAGUUUGCUAUGAACCCUCAUGAUAAGCUCUCACAUGGAAAUGAUGAAUAGUUGCUCUGCCAUGAUUAGUUCUAAAAAUUGAAAUCUCUCUUAAGUUUAGGCAUGACUGGUAUUAAUUAAGAUUUGCUCUAAACCUGAACUUGUGGGGAGAGUACUUGAUCUAAAGUCUAAGUCGUUAACGGAUACGAUAUGGGAAGGUUGAGCUACUGUUUAUCUGUUCCUAGAGAUGCUAGAAUUCUGGAGAAUUUUAUCUUUGAAAAUCUUUAAAAUAUCACAUGAUGAGUUCCUGUAUGAUGAGAGUUUAAAUUCCUACCACAGCCAUAUAUACAUGCUUGCUAGACUUUGAGCCACACAUUUACUUUUUACUGCUUAUGAGCAUUGAGUGUGGUCAAGCUGUGUAGACCCUUAGGAGCUUGUCAUGUGGUUAAGUCAAGAUUCACUUGCACGUUCACUCAUACAUGCUGCUUCUACUCCGGAAGUACGCAUCCACAUAUAUCCACCCAUUUCCAUCUCCAGAACCAUCCAAAAAUAUUCUACUCCUAAUCUGGGAGAGAAUAGCCAAAAACAUUUCUAUUUUUCCCUAUGAAAUAAAUGCUCAAGUUAUCUUGGUUACUACCACUUGCUAUAUUAUUUGAGGAGAUGAGUGCUCUAAAAAAAAGAGAGAAAAAAAGAAAGAAUACGAGGAAAUAAAAAGGGGCAAGUGCCCGGAACCUCGAAAGAAAAGAAAAAGUGAGACGAGAGGUAAAAAUGGACAAGUGUCCGACAGUAGAAUUAGGGGUACAAGAUACCCACCUGAGAGAAAAGAAAAAGAAAAUAUAGAGCAUCUCAUUCUCCUCAAAAAGUUUCAAAAGAGCAAGAAAGGUAUGUAUCCCCUCAAAAGAGCACAAGUAGAAUUAGACUUUCACCAUUGUUAUCACCAUCAUUACCAUACACCAUUCAUUCGCCACACAUGCACAUCUUGAUUUGACUUAUUGACUUGUUCUUCUGGAUCCAUGGUUUGACUAUGCAAUAAAUGUCUUGUAAGUAUGUAUUAGCUGUCUCCCACCUAUGAGCUCCAGAUAUCGAAACCUUAUUAGAGUAGGGUGAGAGAGAAGGUAAUGCCACUAUGCCUCAUACCAAAAAUACCACAUACUUUGAGGGAAGGCAUACACCAUUAUUGCCUUGGUAAGGAUCCAGAAAUACCACAAAAGAGAGACUAGAGAGAGUCAUACAAGGAAUCUCUGAGUUUUAUUUGAAAAUCUGCAAAAACUCCAGAGCUAUAGUUAAUCGAAGAACAAGAGACAUGGCGCUUGACUAGACCGUUCUAUCUUUUAACUACUCUAGACACAAGUGACGGUUGCAAGCCUCAUGGUGGAAGGUAAUAUGAGUAAGUUUAAAUCUUAACAGUUUACCCUAACCCAGAGAUGAGAUCUUGUUUGAAAGCAUGUAUAUCUUUAAGGCAUGAAACCACUGCAGAAACUCUUGAGUUCAUCUUUGCUCAGGGACGAGCAAAGGUUAAGCUUGGGGGAGCUUGUUGACGGUCCUUAAUGCUCACAUUUAACCAUUAACUAAUCAUGGAAAAGGACUUAAAUGCAACCAACACCUAGACUUAGGGUUUUAUCUGACAGAAUUCCACGAGUUUUAGCGUUUGUCUAUUUCUGCAGGGGGUUAUCAGGAAAUACGAAGGAAACGCCCACACGUCGGGUUUACAUAGAGAUAUUAACGUGCCGCGCAAUUUUCUACCAUCUAGAAGACUCCAGAAGCCACGGGACCGAAGCGGAGGCCGAGAGGACUCAGGGACAGGGCGCCCGCCCUCCUCUCCUGGGCGCCCGCCCUCAUACAGAGUCCAAUCAGGAAUCUCUUUUGGGAUAUUGCUCCACCGACCUAAAGUAUCAAGGAUAACCGUUCAAUCAAUGUCGGUUUGAUCCAACAGCCUAGAUUCACUUGAAGGGACUAUAAAACCAGACCCCCUGGCCCCUGGAGAUCAUACCUCUUCUACAGAAUCAAAGUUAGCGUUUCAAUUCUUCAUCCAAGUAGAGAGGAUCCCUCUAGUUCUUCUAGUUCUACCUCUAGUUCAUCUAGAUCUAGUUCUAGUUCAUCUAGUUCUAGUUCUAGUUCUAGUUCCUCUAGUUCUAGUUCUGGUUAGUUCUAGUUGUAAUCUAGAAAAUAGGGAGAGAGAAGAGGAGAGCGGAGGAGGAGCCGGAUCUGUCGGAUCUUCCUCAACAUUGUACUUUUGCAGCAAGUGUUUCGUUCUUCAUCGUUCUCUAGGUUCUUCAAUUCAUAAUUCCUGAGUUCUCUAAUUACUUUUAUUUACUUCAAGUUAUUUAUUGGAUUCCCGCUUGCAUCAAGUGCUCUAGUCUUUAUAAUGCUAGAGUAGUAAUUAAUAGAUUAGACGUGGUGUUUAGUCUUGCAAUUACCUAGAAUUGCACCCAAUCCUGCGGAUUGUUAUGGUAGCCUUAGGGUUGUGACAGCCCUAACGGUCGACGUAUUCCACCUCGUUC
RNAcentral lists this long non-coding RNA (4016 nucleotides) under Sorghum bicolor (sorghum). Its description in RNAcentral is "long non-coding RNA (SBIC_LNC014636)". The record is from RNAcentral. Lineage: Eukaryota; Viridiplantae; Streptophyta; Magnoliopsida; Poales; Poaceae.